Molecule: ribosomal RNA, 324 nt
Filed under: uncultured eukaryote
Lineage: Eukaryota
Description: partial 18S ribosomal RNA
Rfam family: Eukaryotic small subunit ribosomal RNA
Source: RNAcentral
CCCUUAGAUGUUCUGGGCCGCACGCGCGCUACACUGAUGCAUUCAACGAGUUUAUUCCUGGUCCGAGAGGAAUGGGUAACCUUUUGAAAGUGCAUCGUGAUAGGGAUAGACUAUUGCAAUUAUUGGUCUUCAACGAGGAAUUCCUAGUAGACGUAGUUCAUCAGACUGCAUCGAUUACGUCCCUGCCCUUUGUACACACCGCCCGUCGCUCCUACCGAUUGAAUGCUCAGGUGAGCCAUUCGGACUUUCAUCAUGCUGGUUUCCAGUUUUGAUGAAGGAAAGUCUUGCGAACCUUAUCAUUUAGAGGAAGGAGAAGUCGUAACA